CCCACCUGACCCCAUGCCGAACUCAGAAGUGAAACGCUGUAGCGCCGAUGGUAGUGUGGGGUCUCCCCAUGCGAGAGUAGGGAACUGCCAGGC
Molecule: ribosomal RNA, 93 nt
Filed under: Salmonella enterica
Lineage: Bacteria; Pseudomonadati; Pseudomonadota; Gammaproteobacteria; Enterobacterales; Enterobacteriaceae
Source: RNAcentral